Bombus terrestris (buff-tailed bumblebee) is the source of this 4223-nucleotide long non-coding RNA. RefSeq lists it as uncharacterized. The transcript is spliced from 5 exons. Lineage: Eukaryota; Metazoa; Arthropoda; Insecta; Hymenoptera; Apidae. The record is from RefSeq and is a predicted model, not a curated record.
ACACGGAUAUCAUGGUACCGACUGCAGACAGUUGAAAUUGUUAUGCCCGGACGUCGUGACAAAUUAAUCGUCGACGCCGCCAAAUCGACCGAGCAAGAGAAACAGAAAAAAAGAGAGAGAGGACCGAAUUGAUUUUUCGUACUAGCCAGAGGCUAGCUGGCUCGUUAAACUCGCGCGCCACGAUUCCUGACCCACAGAUCGAUAUUCGAGUCGAUGCAGUAAGGUUCAGCAAGAGGGAAUAUCAAAGACGAGAAAACGAUUCGAACAACUCUAUGGUAAAGUUGUUCGAGUCGGCAUAAAGAACUGCUACAAAAGUCAUCGCAAUAAUAAAAAUCAAUAUUCGUGGUAAAGCCUGUACCUUUCUUCUCUUCUAAUGAAUACGAUUUAACUAUCGAAGUUGCCUUCUUGUCGUUGCAAGCCCUUCGGUUUGAUACGAUAGAAUUAUCUUAUUGAUAAAAGGAUACGCAACAAGAUUUUAUCUAAAAUAGACGAAAACGAAGAAUCGUGGAAUCGCGGAUUCUUAAGGAAACAAACCUCGUUGGACGCGUAGAAAACCCGAUAGUCCUGAAAUUUAACCGAUCUCCUCUGUGUUCGGAUUCUUCGAAUUUGCAAACCGAAUUUCCAAUACCAUGGAACUUGCUCUUGUUCGUAGAAUCACUAGGAACAAGAAUAUACCGAGAACCGCUGCUAAAGGUAUGUGAAAAAGAAGAAUUUCAAAAUUGAUCUUUCGAAGAAACAAACUCUGUGGAGCAACGCUUUGUCAUCGUACCAACAAUUUGAUGUAAAGCAAUUGUCCGACCGUGGACGCGUAUGAACGGUAUAAAGAAACACUAUGAAAUAGAUGAAAAUGAGGAAUUUUAGAAUUAAUUUCGAAGAAACAAACCGUGCUGAACGUACAAAAGACAUCACUACUCUUACAAUUCACUGAUUCAUACAGCUCGGGAGAAACUCUGAUGUGUUUUUAAAUUUACGCACGUCAAGAUUCUAUUCGCGCGUCAAGUAGAAUCUUCCCUUCGUGGUCAGACGUUUCUGCCGGCGCACAGCGUGUCAUAAAGCAAUCACAAUCACUACGGAUCAGCCGAUAUCGAUCUGCUAUGUAUACUCGACGACGUAUUUUUUUCGUUCUAAUCGCUGACAAAUGCGUCGACAAGCUCUCGUUCACGUUACACGUACCAUCGGCUAACGGGACAACGAAUGGACGAAGUUUCACUGGUGUAGUAUUCUGCUGUCACGAGGCUUUGUUCUUGAUCGGUUAACCAUCCCUAUGGUUGCCACGAAACUUGGUAUCCCGGAUCGAAUACACACUCGCGAUCACUAAAUAAAAUUCUCGUGGGCUUAAUAAAUCCUCCAAACGAUAAAUUCUCCGAUCUGCCGAGCGAAGUAACGAAGACUAAUGGACGAACGAAAUUGUAACUCUCGAAGAUGGUGGACGAGGCGCUCGUAGCUCGAGCGUUCCCGCGAUUAGCCGGUGCCGCGAGGCGCACCUCGAGCGGCGUCUACUCGGAAUUCGAAGCGAGACACUCGGAAGCGACGGAGGCAGCCGCCACAACGGAAACGUGGAAAAAGGUCGAUCGAAAGGAGGCGAUUGAAAAAAAGAUAGGAAAAAGAUAUAGGGGAAUAAGAUGGAAACGACGGAGAAGAAUGAGAAACACACGGAGCUGAUGUCGAGAGGUGCACGAAAAGAAGAAUGGAAGGAGGGAAGAAGGAGGAAGCGUGGGACAAAACGGGACGAAGAAGAAGAGGACGGACGUCGUGGCUGGACCACCGGCCGGCUCGGGGCGUGCGCUCGUGUAGCACGUGGCCGCGAGACUGAAUAUCCCCUACCUUGGCCACCUUCGUCAGUCCGUUUGUCCGCCUCGUCCUUAUCUUACCUAGUCGACCGAGAAAGACUACCGCGGCCUUCUCUCGUUCUCUCUCCUCCCACCUUACGGCUGCACCUUCUCCUUCUCGAUCCUUUUGCUUCUCUUCUUCUUCUUCUUCCUCUUCCUUUGCCUGCUUCCAUAUAUCUUCGCAGUCUCUUCCUCCUCCUCUUUCUCUCCCUUUUUAUCCUUCCUUGUGUUCUUUACCCUUUUUCAUUUUUUCUUCUACCGCUUAUUCAGAUUCUGUGCAGUUGUUCCCUUCUCAUCUUAUAGUCUUUUUCUGCUCUUUGUCGUGUUUUGCGCUGCUCUCCUAAUUCUUCCUCUCCUCGUUUUUCCUUCCACGCUUCUUCGCUAAUCUUCGCAGUCCGUUUUCAUCGUUUGCCGUUAACGUUGCUGCUUCUCCUCCCGGUUCCGAUCUCGCGAACUCGUCGAUUUCUUCCAACGCAAAAUCCAUCUCCAACGCGCUACAGAGGAGGCUCGCGUUACAUGCGUGCGCGCAGUUUCGCCGAUUGGUUUAGUAGUUUUUCGCGCCGAUCUGACGGGAGUACGAGGUUUAAUUGAAAUGUUAUUAUACAGAGGAAAGGAAAUGGAGAUUAUACGGAGAUUUGGAAAUUUUCGUGUUUUUGGUUUUAGAGAUGUUUAGGUUUUGCCUUAGAGAUGAGAAGAAAUUAGGGAAAUUACGGAUCGAUCGACAAACUUUUAACCGAAAUAUUAGAAUAAAUAGUAUUACUAAUUGGACACGUUUUAAUUGAUUCUUAAUCUUAUACAGAAAACUAGGUGCAAAGGUAAGUGUUCAUAUAUUCCUUCCGAAUCACUCAUCGUUCACACGAAUUCUCUCUUAUAGCAUUCGUGUAAUUAUUAAUCGAAGCUCGUAAAACAAGAAAAGGAAGUAUAUAGUAUGAAACGUAACUGAAGCUAAAAAUUAUAAACUUUACAGGCGGUGAGAACGUUUGCUAAUCUCGUUUGUAUAGGAAAGUCGACGGUCUAUAAACCAACCGGACUACCUUUUCCCGGGGCUUCUCUAAGUAUCGAGAGAUAACCAUCUAUAUUUAAUGAGCCGUUCGUUCGACGACGUGAUUUCCCCGUGCUUUGAGCACGGAGCACGUGCGGAAAAGCGUGCUCGCCAUAAAACGCGCGCCGUUCUGCGUAACUAUAACAGCCAUUCCCCUCGUAAACGUAAUCGAAGAAAGUACCGUCGCGCCACCUUCUACGCGAUAUUUCGUUGAUUGCAAUGAUUUUUCUGAUUCUACGUGUAAAUCAUAACUUACAAAUACGAUCACGAUUAAAUUUUCUCGAAGGAAGGUUAAUUUAUAUAGCAUUCUGAUCAAGUAGUUUUUUAUUUUUAAAUUUAGUCUAGUAAAAAGAAAUAAAAAUCUAUUUUCUAUUCUUUCUUAUUCUUUCGUAUACGAGGAAAACAUCUUUCUUCCUUUGCUUGUUCCUUUUCCUUUCUAAUAAGAAUCUACUGUUUGGCUAAAAUAAUAUCGCGUAAUAAAUACAUAUCCAACGAGUAAUAUUCUAUAUAACGCGGAAACAAUUAGCCAUAUCGUUCGAGGAUUGCUUGCAUGAAAGUUAGAAAAGGUUCUAUGUAACUUUGAAUGUGCACAACCCGAAAUGGAGAAGGGAGACUUGGACGCUCGUACAAGAAAGAUGCGUGGUGAUUUUAAUGCCAGUUGAAUGGAAUAAACGAGGAGAAGGAAACGUCGUUCGAAGUGGGAGGCGCCCGAUCAGCAACCAAUAGAAAGAGCCGCCACCCACGAAGCUAUAAAAAUUAAUUUAUCACAUGGAUCGCCGCCUACGCCAUUGCUCCGUUCGUGGACGCCUAGUUUCGCAGCAUCCCCCUAGAUAGCGCUACCUGUCGGGACUUCCCCGAGGGCACCACGAUACGGAGAUACUAAACAGCUAAUUACCGUAUGAGAUAUCAGGAUAGAGGACUAACUUACCAACCGUAGUAACAACAUCGAACAAGAAUUUCCAUAUCGUUGCACAGAUUACUCGAUGCACAGAUGAGGGCGAAUGUUACUCCACAUUGGUCGAUUUUGGUUUUGUCCUGGAAAGCGAAUGAUCGUUCCUUGAGAGGGACGAACAGCGCCUAUGCUCGACGUGGCGGAAGAAUGCACGAAACCAACAGAAGAUGCGGCAGAAGAAGUUGCAUGCCCGUUUUGGGUACUGCCCGACGAAGUAGCAGCUGCACUGUCGAAACCAAACACUUGACUGUUGACAUUCCCUACAUUACCAUAUAUAGGAUAAUAUUGACUGGCAGCUCCAGAUACAGCACCAGCGAUUCCCGUUAAUCCUGCGGAGAACGACACCGACUGACUUUGUAAAACGCUCCUGGUAACAAAUAUAUACAUUGUUACAGUAAAA